This is a non-coding RNA of Ictidomys tridecemlineatus (thirteen-lined ground squirrel), 2469 nucleotides long. The record is from RefSeq and is a predicted model, not a curated record. NCBI's taxonomy places the organism in Eukaryota, Metazoa, Chordata, Mammalia, Rodentia, Sciuridae.
UCUUUGGGAGUAUCUGAGUGGGCUGACUUGGAUCUGACACACAUUUUAGCAGGAUGUUCUGGUACCUGGGCAGAAGGUGCCUGCAGGUCGGGGAGAGGCUGGCAGAAAAAGAAACAAGGAGCCAGGAGAGGACGCUAAUCCGACUCGACCGGGAAAGGACAGAAGACUGAGGCAGGCGCCACGGGAUGGGGCAUGGAGGAGGCGAGGGGUGGCCUGGAGGAAGCAUUUCCACGAAGCCACAGCCCCCCUCUGGGGGAUGGGCGCAGCCAAGCCAGAUGGACGAGAAGUUCAAGAAAGCAGAGGAGAUGGCCCUAAGUCUCGCCCGGGCAGUGGCUGGUGGGGAUGAACAGGCUGCUAUGAAGUGUGCCAUCUGGCUGGCAGAGCAACGGGUGCCCGUGAGUGUGAAACUGAAGCCCGAGGUCUCCCUGACACAGGACAUCAGGCUGUGUGUGAGCGUGGAGGAUGCCCAGAUGCACACCGUCACCAUCUGGCUCACCGUGCGCCCUGAUAUGACCGUGGCCUCCCUCAAGGACAUGGUAUUCCUUGACUAUGGCUUCCCACCCACACUGCAGCAGUGGGUAAUUGGGCAGCGGUUGGCACGGGACCAAGAGACUCUACACUCCCAUGGCGUGCGGCGGAAUGGGGACAGUGCCUACCUCUACCUGCUGUCAGCCUGCAACACCUCGCUUAACCCUCGGGAGCUGCAGCGGGAGCGGCAGCUGCGGAUGCUGGAAGAUCUGGGAUUCAAGGAUCUCACGCUGCAGCCAAGGGGUCCCCUGGAGCCAGACCCUUCCAAGUCCGGGGCCCCCCAGGAGCCUGGCCAGCAGCCAGAUGCAGUGCCCGAGCCCCCACCGGUGGGCUGGCAGUGCCCUGGCUGCACCUUCAUCAACAAGCCCACGCGACCUGGCUGCGAGAUGUGCUGCCAGGCGCGGCCAGAGACCUACCAGGUUCCCACCUCUUACCAGCCAGACGCGGAGGAGCGAGCGCGCCUGGCCAGCGAGGAAGAGGCGCUGCGCCAGUACCAGCAGCGGAAGCAGCAGCAGCAGGAGGGGAACUACCUGCAGCACGUGCAGCUGGAGCAGCGAAGCCUGGUGCUGAACACGGAGCCCGCCGAGUGCCCCGUGUGCUACUCGGUGCUGGCGCCCGGCGAGGCGGUGGUGCUGCGCGAGUGCCUGCACACCUUCUGCAGGGAGUGCCUGCAGGGCACCAUCCGCAACUGCCAGGAGGCCGAGGUCUCCUGCCCCUUCAUCGACAACACCUACUCCUGCCCGGGCAAGCUGCUGGAGAGGGAGAUCCGGGCGCUCCUGAGCCCCGAGGAUUACCAGCGGUUUCUGGACCUGAGCGUCUCCAUUGCCGAGAACCGCAGCGCCUUCAGCUACCACUGCAAGACCCCAGACUGCAAGGGCUGGUGCUUCUUUGAGGAUGAUGUAAAUGAGUUCACCUGCCCCGUGUGUUUCCACGUCAACUGCCUGCUCUGCAAGGCCAUCCACGAGCGCAUGAACUGCAGGGAGUAUCAGGACGACUUGGCCUUGCGCGCUCAGAAUGACGUGGCAGCCCGGCAGACCACAGAGAUGCUGAGGGUGCUGCUGCAGCAGGGCGAGGCCAUGCACUGCCCGCAGUGCCAUAUUGUAGUGCAGAAGAAGGAUGGGUGCGACUGGAUCCGCUGCACCGUCUGCCACACCGAGAUCUGCUGGGUCACCAAGGGCCCGCGGUGGGGCCCUGGGCGCUGCCCACCCGGAUGUGCCGUACUGUCCGAGCCUUUCCCGCCCUGGGUCUGCGGCAGACGGACCCGACUCUUGUAAUAGGGGAGCUGCAUGACCGCCUCUACCAGGGGGCCUAGCCAGGAGGGCCGCUCAGGAGGACCUGCGGGGACAAGGGCCCGAGUGGCAGGGCCCCGGAGACACCAGCGGGGGCUGCCGCUGCCGUGUGAACGGGAUUCCUUGCCACCCAAGCUGUCAGAACUGCCACUGAACCCAAAAUGGCGGGGCUCCAGCUGACCCAGCCCCACAUCCAGAGGCAGUUGUGGGCAGGGCUGGGCUCGGAACUUGGCUCUGAUUUCUGGGCUGAAAGACUGUUUUGUGCUUUGGCCAAGGCAGAGGCCCUAUGGGGAUGGCCUGUUUGCGACAGGUGGUGUAGAAGCCCACCUGAGCCCGCUGUUGGGUCACCUGUGCCCAGUGCCUUUAUCCUCUUCCUGUGGGCUUGCGGCCCAUCCCUCGCCUCGUCCCUGCAGCCCAGACCUUCUGGAAGGGGCUCUGUGAGCCACCGGCACCCCCACUCCUCGCCUGCAGGUCACCAGCUAGCCACAGCUCGUCUCUCCACGGUGGCUUUCUGGGGUGAAUUUGCUCUCGCAUUGCUGUUGGAGGUUCGGAGCUGCUGAGACCAGGCCAGCUGAGAGCACGCCCUCGGGUCUGACCGCCACCAUCUCCCUCUGUUGCCUGCAUGAGCAGAUUAAAAUGCUUUUCCAGGAAG